GACGAACGCUGGCGGCGUGCUUAACACAUGCAAGUCGAGCGGUAAGGCCCUUUCGGGGGUUACGACGAGCGGCGAACGGGUGAGUAACACGUGGGUGACCUGCUCUCAGCUCUGGGAUAAGCCUGGGAAACCGGGUCUAAUACUGGAUAUGACUCCAUGACGCAUGUUGUGGGGUGGAAAGCCUUGUGCGGCUGAGGAUGGGCCCGCGGCCUAUCAGCUUGUUGGUGGGGUGAUGGCCUACCAAGGCGA
RNAcentral lists this ribosomal RNA (249 nucleotides) under uncultured Actinomycetes bacterium. Its description in RNAcentral is "uncultured actinobacterium partial 16S ribosomal RNA". It matches the Rfam family "Bacterial small subunit ribosomal RNA", at positions 28 to 276 of the family's 1533-position model. The record is from RNAcentral. Lineage: Bacteria; Bacillati; Actinomycetota; Actinomycetes.